AGCGAAUCGGUAUCAGAUACCGUAUCCGAUACCGAUACUCUUCCGAUACGCCCCCGAUACGUAUCCAAGGAGUAUCCGUGAAUAAACGAUUUAAAACAAUUCCGAUACUUGAAGGAUACUUUUUCAGUUCGUUUUGGAUACGGCCCAGCCCAUCUAAGAGACCACUCAGCCCAGUUAAGAGGCAGACAGCAACCCUAGUACCCCAAUGCCCCCUUCCUUUCCCUCCUAGUUUUCUUUCCUCCCUCCCGAGCUCACACCAGGCGGCGGCUGGUGGCUGCAUACCUAGCAGCUACUCGCCCAGGGCCGGCGGCAGCGGCGGCUAGCCGGCGACGAGCUGCUACUCCUCACCAACUGCUCCUGUCACGCAGCAAGCAGCGAGUGAAACCCAUGUUGGUCUUAGACCAGUUACUCACCAAUCGGCUUGUGAUGGCCCCAUUGCCAACACAAGAAGAAACGUCGGUGGCUGUUGGGACGUGGGUAUACUAAGAAAAGGGUCCGAAUGAGCAGGAAAGGCAAACAAGAAGCCUGAUGGUGGCUGAAUGCAGAGGGAGGCGGCAACCUGUGAAAUACAAUUAUCUCGCCUUGUUGUUUGUUGUGGGUCUCUUUGGCAGCACAUGAAGCUGGUGGCGAAGGGGUUGGCGUCUGAAUUCUUUAGAACGAUGAAAAGUCCUUUAUUGAAAAAAAUCAGGAACUAGCUCGUAUUGCAGUUUGGCAUGUGUUUCGAAGAGGGUAAACAAACAAACAAACAAACUGCAAGGGAGUCUGCAUUGCUCUGUGACUCUGUCCUCUGUUUCUCCCAAAGCAGAGGAAGGGGUAAAUGGGUCUGAUCUGUUAGUAUUAGCUUGCCACUGGUCAAUAGAGGAAGGAAUAGAGAUUCUAUUGAAAAACAUGGAACCAGAUAGGGAUUCCUUCCUA
Triticum urartu is the source of this 915-nucleotide non-coding RNA. Lineage: Eukaryota; Viridiplantae; Streptophyta; Magnoliopsida; Poales; Poaceae. The record is from RefSeq and is a predicted model, not a curated record.